This 497-nucleotide ribosomal RNA is filed under the name uncultured bacterium. RNAcentral describes it as "partial 16S ribosomal RNA". It matches the Rfam family "Bacterial small subunit ribosomal RNA", at positions 28 to 507 of the family's 1533-position model. The record is from RNAcentral.
GAUGAACGCUGGCGGCGUGCCUAAUACAUGCAAGUCGAGCGAACAGACGAGGAGCUUGCUCCUCUGAUGUUAGCGGCGGACGGGUGAGUAACACGUGGAUAACCUACCUAUAAGACUGGGAUAACUUCGGGAAACCGGAGCUAAUACCGGAUAACAUGUUGAACCGCAUGGUUCAACAGUGAAAGACGGUUUUGCUGUCACUUAUAGAUGGAUCCGCGCCGCAUUAGCUAGUUGGUAAGGUAACGGCUUACCAAGGCAACGAUGCGUAGCCGACCUGAGAGGGGGGCGGAGGAACCGGGAAGGGAGACACGGACAAGGGGACUGCGAGAGGGAGCAGAAGGGAAUGGGAGGCAAGAGGAGGAAGGAUGACAGAGCAAUGUCAAGUGAGAGGAAAAGAUCGGGCGAUCGGAAAAACGGGUGACGGGGGAAAAACAAAGGUGGAAGCAAACAGAGAGGUAGUGACGGUAUGUGAAGAAAAAGCAACGGCUAACUACGUG